AUACGUAGGGGGCGAGCGUUGUCCGGAAUUACUGGGCGUAAAGGGCGUGUAGGCGGCGCUGUAAGUCUGGAGUGAAAGUCCUGUUUUCAAGAUGGGAAUUGCUUUGGAUACUGCAGAGCUUGAGUGCGGAAGAGGUAAGUGGAAUUCCCAGUGUAGCGGUGAAAUGCGUAGAGAUCGGGAGGAACACCAGUGGCGAAUGCGGGUAACUGGACUACAAGUGACGCUGAGGCGCGAAAGUGUGGGGAGCAAACAGGAUUAGAUACCCUGGUAGUCCACACUGUAAACGAUGAAUUCUAGGUGUAGGAGGUAUCGACCCCUUCUGUGCCGCAGUAAACACAGUAAGCAUUCCGCCUGGGGAGUACGGUCGCAAGAUUAAAACUCAAAUGAAUUGACGUGU
Molecule: ribosomal RNA, 397 nt
Filed under: uncultured bacterium
Lineage: Bacteria
Description: partial 16S ribosomal RNA
Rfam family: Bacterial small subunit ribosomal RNA
Source: RNAcentral